UACUCCGUGAAUCGGAGGCGGG
RNAcentral lists this small nuclear RNA (22 nucleotides) under Arabidopsis thaliana (thale cress). Its description in RNAcentral is "snRNA_12496". The record is from RNAcentral. Lineage: Eukaryota; Viridiplantae; Streptophyta; Magnoliopsida; Brassicales; Brassicaceae.